UACGGGGGGAGCAAGCGUUGUUCGGAUUUACUGGGCGUAAAGGGCGCGUAGGCGGUCAGCACAAGUCAGUUGUGAAAUCUCCGGGCUUAACCCGGAAAGGUCAACUGAUACUGUGCGACUAGAGUGCGGAAGGGGCAACUGGAAUUCUCGGUGUAGCGGUGAAAUGCGUAGAUAUCGAGAGGAACACCUGCGGCGAAGGCGGGUUGCUGGGCUGACACAUGACGCUGAGGCGCGGAAAGCCAGGGGAGCAAACGGG
RNAcentral lists this ribosomal RNA (256 nucleotides) under uncultured bacterium. Its description in RNAcentral is "partial 16S ribosomal RNA". It matches the Rfam family "Bacterial small subunit ribosomal RNA", at positions 524 to 776 of the family's 1533-position model. The record is from RNAcentral.